GGCGGCGCGCUUAACACAUGCAAGUCGAGCGAGAACCAGGCCUUCGGGCCUGGGGACAGCGGCGAACGGGUGAGUAACACGUGGGUAAUCAACCCUCGAUACUGGGAUAGCCCGGGGAAACCCGGAUUAAUACCGGAUGGCCCUUUGGAUCCUCGGAUCUGAAGGAAAAGGUAGCUUCGGCCUCCGAUCGAGGACGAGCCCGCGGCGGAUUAGCUUGUUGGUGGGGUAACGGCCUACCAAGGCAACGAUGGGUAGCUGGUCUGAGAGGACGAUCAGCCACACUGGGACUGAGACACGGCCCAGACUCCUACGGGAGGCAGCAGUGGGGAAUCUUGCGCUAAUGCGGGAAACCGUGACGCAGCGACGCCGCGUGAGGGAAGAAGGCCUUCGGGUUGUAAACCUCUUUCAGGAGGGACGAAGCCACUCGGGUUAAUAGCCCAGAAGGUGACGGUACCUCCAGAAGAAGCCCCGGCUAACUACGUGCCA
RNAcentral lists this ribosomal RNA (486 nucleotides) under uncultured Actinomycetes bacterium. RNAcentral describes it as "bacterial SSU rRNA". It matches the Rfam family "Bacterial small subunit ribosomal RNA", at positions 38 to 510 of the family's 1533-position model. The record is from RNAcentral. Lineage: Bacteria; Bacillati; Actinomycetota; Actinomycetes.